RNAcentral lists this ribosomal RNA (465 nucleotides) under uncultured bacterium. Its description in RNAcentral is "partial 16S ribosomal RNA". It matches the Rfam family "Bacterial small subunit ribosomal RNA", at positions 338 to 795 of the family's 1533-position model. The record is from RNAcentral.
CCUACGGGAGGCAGCAGUAGGGAAUCUUCCACAAUGGGCGAAAGCCUGAUGGAGCAACGCCGCGUGGGUGAAGAAGGUCUUCGGAUCGUAAAACUCUGUUGUUAGAGAAGAAAGUGCGUGAGAGUAACUGUGCACUUUUCGACGGUAUCUAACCAGAAAGCGACGGCUAACUACGUGCCAGCAGCCGCGGUAAUACGUAGGUGGCAAGCGUUAUCCGGAUUUAUUGGGCGUAAAGGGAGCGCAGGCGGUCUUUUAAGUCUGAUGUGAAAGCCCCCGGCUUAACCGGAGUAGUGCAUUGGAAACUGGGAGACUUGAGUGCAGAAGAGGAGAGUGGAAUUCCAUGUGUAGCGGUGAAAUGCGUAGAUAUAUGGAAGAACACCAGUGGCGAAAGCGGCUCUCUGGUCUGUAACUGACGCUGAGGCUCGAAAGCGUGGGUAGCAAACAGGAUUAGAUACCCUAGUAGUC